GACGAACGCUGGCGGCGCGCCUAACACAUGCAAGUCGAGCGAGCGAUGGAGAGCGUGCUUUCUUGAACGAGUGGCGAACGGGUGAGUAAUGCGUGAGGAACCAGCCUCAAAGAGGAGGAGGAUAGUUGGAAACGACUGCUAAUACCGCAUAAGCCCAUGGUGCCCCAUGGCACAGAGGAAAAAGGGGCAGUCCGCUUUGAGACGGCCUCGCGGCCGAUUAGCUAGUUGGUUAGGUAACGGCCCACCAAGGCGACGAUCGGUCGCCGGACUGAGAGCUUGAACGGACCCAUUGGGACUGGGACAAGUCGCAGACUCCUACGAGUGGCAGCAGUUGGGAAGAUUGCACACUGGGGGAGACCCUGAGGCAGCGACGCCGCGAGAAUGAAGAAGGUCUUCAGAUUGUAAACUCCUGUUGCUGGGGAACAUCAUGACGGUACCCAACAAGAAAGUGACGGCUAACUACGUG
RNAcentral lists this ribosomal RNA (466 nucleotides) under uncultured bacterium. RNAcentral's name for it is "partial 16S ribosomal RNA". It matches the Rfam family "Bacterial small subunit ribosomal RNA", at positions 28 to 507 of the family's 1533-position model. The record is from RNAcentral.